GCAUAAUCGAUAGUUUUUUAAUUGAAAGCUGGAAUGAAGGGUUUAAACUGAAAAGAUAGUUUUGUUUAAUUAUUUUGAAUUUAAAUUAAAAGUAAAAAUGCUUUUAUAAGAUUUUGGGACGAGAAGACCCUAGAAGCUUAUAAUUGGAAAAUUUUUAGUUGGGGUAACGUUUGAAGAUAAAAAUUUUUAAAGGGUUUAAAUAAAAAGGAAUAAGUUACUCUAGGGAUAACAGCAUAAUUUAAUUAACAAGUUCUUAUUAAUAAUUAAGUUUGUGACCUCGAUGUUGAAUUAAUU
RNAcentral lists this ribosomal RNA (294 nucleotides) under Neosadocus sp. RPDR-2013. RNAcentral describes it as "partial 16S ribosomal RNA". The record is from RNAcentral. Lineage: Eukaryota; Metazoa; Arthropoda; Arachnida; Opiliones; Gonyleptidae.